ACGAACGCUGGCGGCAUGCCUAACACAUGCAAGUCGAACGAGACCUUCGGGUCUAGUGGCGCACGGGUGCGUAACGCGUGGGAACCUGCCCUUAGGUUCGGAAUAACUCCCCGAAAGGGGUGCUAAUACCGGAUAAUGUCUUCGGACCAAAGAUUUAUCGCCUUUGGAUGGGCCGCGUUGGAUUAGCUAGUUUGUAGGGUAAAAGCCUACCAAGGCGACGAUCCAUAGCUGGUCUGAGAGGAUGAUCAGCCACACUGGGACUGAGACACGGCCCAGACUCCUACGGGAGGCAGCAGUGGGGAAUAUUGGACAAUGGGCGAAAGCCUGAUCCAGCAAUGCCGCGUGAGUGAUGAAGGCCUUAGGGUUGUAAAGCUCUUUUACCCGGGAUGAUAAUGACAGUACCGGGAGAAUAAGCUCCGGCUAACUCCGUG
Molecule: ribosomal RNA, 431 nt
Filed under: uncultured bacterium
Lineage: Bacteria
Description: partial 16S ribosomal RNA
Rfam family: Bacterial small subunit ribosomal RNA
Source: RNAcentral